GUGGAUUAGAUACCCUGGUAGUCCACGCUGUAAACGAUGACGAGUAGGUGUGGGGUGGUUCAGUCCAUUCCGUGCCGCAGCUAACGCAUUAAGUCGUCCGCCUGGGGAGUACGGCCGCAAGGUUGAAACUCAAAGGAAUUGACGGGGGCCCGCACAAGCGGUGGAGCAUGUGGUUCAAUUCGAUGCAGAGCGAAGAACCUUACCUGGGCUUGACAUGUAGGAAGUAGAAACCCGAAAGGGUGACGACCUGUUGAGUCAGGAGCCUACACAGGUGGUGCACGGCCGUCGUCAGCU
RNAcentral lists this ribosomal RNA (294 nucleotides) under uncultured bacterium. RNAcentral describes it as "partial 16S ribosomal RNA". It matches the Rfam family "Bacterial small subunit ribosomal RNA", at positions 773 to 1060 of the family's 1533-position model. The record is from RNAcentral.